CCCAGCCAGGGCCGUCCUAUAAAACAUGCACUCAGGCCCUCGCAGAGGAGACGUUCCCAUCAGGAAACCUUCACUUCCAACCAUGUUCAGUGUAGUUGUGCUGCUGCUGGCCGCUGUUUCCAGUGCCAAGUGUGAACAGUUGACCCAGCCGGCCGAUCUGACUCUGCGGUCUGGUGAGGAGAUGAACAUCGCCUGUCAGGUGUCUUAUAGUUUGAGCAGCUACUACACUGCUUGGGUCAGGCAGCCUGCUGGGAAAGGACUGGAAUGGAUCGGGAUCAGACUGGUCGGAUCUGGUAAUUAUUACCGCAAGGAGUCCCUGAAAACCAAGUUCAGUAUUGAACUAAACCCCUCCAGCCAAACAGUAACCCUAAACGGAAAGAAUAUGCAGCCCGAAGACUCGGCUGUGUAUUAUUGCGCCAGACACCCACAACAACACAAACCGUCGGCGCACUUCAACAAAAAUAAAAAAGGAGGAGGAUCCCUCAUCCCUCUCACAAUCGUACAUGAAGCAUGCAACUGAUGACUCAAGUGUUGU
Syngnathus acus (greater pipefish) is the source of this 535-nucleotide non-coding RNA. The record is from the annotation of a RefSeq genome assembly. Lineage: Eukaryota; Metazoa; Chordata; Actinopteri; Syngnathiformes; Syngnathidae.